GAUGAACGCUGGCGGCGUGCCUAAUACAUGCAAGUCGAGCGAACAGACGAGGAGCUUGCUCCUCUGACGUUAGCGGCGGACGGGUGAGUAACACGUGGAUAACCUACCUAUAAGACUGGGAUAACUUCGGGAAACCGGAGCUAAUACCGGAUAAUAUAUUGAACCGCAUGGUUCAAUAGUGAAAGACGGCUUUGCUGUCACUUAUAGAUGGAUCCGCGCCGCAUUAGCUAGUUGGUAAGGUAACGGCUUACCAAGGCAACGAUGCGUAGCCGACCUGAGAGGGUGAUCAGCCACACUGGAACUGAGACACGGUCCAGACUCCUACGGGAGGCAGCAGUAGGGAAUCUUCCGCAAUGGGCGAAAGCCUGACGGAGCAACGCCGCGUGAGUGAUGAAGGUCUUCGGAUCGUAAAACUCUGUUAUUAGGGAAGAACAAAUGUGUAAGUAACUAUGCCCGUCUUGACGGUACCUAAUCAGAAAGCCACGGCUAACUACGUG
RNAcentral lists this ribosomal RNA (497 nucleotides) under uncultured bacterium. RNAcentral describes it as "partial 16S ribosomal RNA". It matches the Rfam family "Bacterial small subunit ribosomal RNA", at positions 28 to 507 of the family's 1533-position model. The record is from RNAcentral.